AAUAGAUACCCAGGUAGUCCACGCCGUAAACGAUGAGUGCUAAGUGUUAGAGGGUUUCCGCCCUUUAGUGCUGCAGCUAACGCAUUAAGCACUCCGCCUGGGGAGUACGGUCGCAAGACUGAAACUCAAAGGAAUUGACGGGGGCCCGCACAAGCGGUGGAGCAUGUGGUUUAAUUCGAAGCAACGCGAAGAACCUUACCAGGUCUUGACAUCCUCUGACAACUCUAGAGAUAGAGCGUUCCCCUUCGGGGGACAGAGUGACAGGUGGUGCAUGGUUGUCGUCAGCUCGUGUCGUGAGAUGUUGGGUUAAGUCCCGCAACGAGCGCAACCCUUGAUCUUAGUUGCCAGCAUUCAGUUGGGCACUCUAAGGUGACUGCCGGUGACAAACCGGAGGAAGGUGGGGAUGACGUCAAAUCAUCAUGCCCCUUAUGACCUGGGCUACACACGUGCUACAAUGGAUGGUACAAAGGGCUGCAAGACCGCGAGGUCAAGCCAAUCCCAUAAAACCAUUCUCAGUUCGGAUUGGUAC
This 529-nucleotide ribosomal RNA is filed under the name uncultured bacterium. Its description in RNAcentral is "bacterial SSU rRNA". It matches the Rfam family "Bacterial small subunit ribosomal RNA", at positions 777 to 1304 of the family's 1533-position model. The record is from RNAcentral.